Molecule: non-coding RNA, 220 nt
Organism: Pelobates cultripes (western spadefoot toad)
Lineage: Eukaryota; Metazoa; Chordata; Amphibia; Anura; Pelobatidae
Source: the annotation of a GenBank genome assembly
CUCUUACACACUAUCACACUCAGUCUUCUCACAUAAUGCUACCAUACACAAUCCCAUGACUUUUCACCUUUCCCUCCAUCUCCCCCUCACACCUCCCCACAUUUUCCUCCACAAUGUCCCCUGCCUACCUUUACUUUCCUCCACUCGCAUUAUCCUUCCAUUAAAAAAGCACAACUGUCACACACUAUCACACUUAGCCAACAACACAAUCAAACUCCAC